GCUGGGAUAGCGUAGCUGGUAGCGCAACUGAUUCGUAAUCAGUAGGUCGUGGGUUCAAAUCCCAUUCUCAGCUCCA
This is a transfer RNA of 76 nucleotides. It matches the Rfam family "tRNA". Rfam says of the family: Transfer RNA (tRNA) molecules are approximately 80 nucleotides in length. Their secondary structure includes four short double-helical elements and three loops (D, anti-codon, and T loops).